Molecule: ribosomal RNA, 224 nt
Filed under: Trametes versicolor
Lineage: Eukaryota; Fungi; Basidiomycota; Agaricomycetes; Polyporales; Polyporaceae
Source: RNAcentral
GUAAAUGCUUAUAGCGGCGGUGUAGCGCAUUUAUAAAUCGGUUGAAGCACAUUAGAAAGUGCUUGAAGGGGCCAUAAAAUAUGGCAUUAGGAGUGGGGACAAGUGCGCUCUAGAAAGCGACUUCAGGGCAGGCUCAGAAACACUUUGAAAGCGAAAAUGAAAGGCAUUAGAAAAAGUAAAAACCACAGCACCCAGGAUUCCCGCGUGGUCCCCCACCGUGGUAC